RNAcentral lists this long non-coding RNA (244 nucleotides) under Hordeum vulgare. Its description in RNAcentral is "long non-coding RNA (HVUL_LNC017801)". Lineage: Eukaryota; Viridiplantae; Streptophyta; Magnoliopsida; Poales; Poaceae. The record is from RNAcentral.
CAUUUUGGAGGAUAACAACUUGUUAAUUUCUGUAGGAGAAGUAUAAUAUUCACACUAGCUCCCUUUUUUAGUGCGUUUCUUCUUCUUCUUCAAGUUGAUUGAGAAUUAUGGAUGGCACCAUGUAGUAAAGUACAUAAAUGCCAAUCAAGUGAAUCACACCAUAACCAUAUGCUCUCUCCAGUCUAAUACCACCAGGAAUCUAGUAUGUAGCCUCUAAGGAAUGUUUCCAGAACUCAAGUAUGAG